AGAACGAACGCCGGCGGCAGGCUUAACACAUGCAAGUCGAACGCUCGUAGCAAUACGGGAGUGGCAGACGGGUGAGUAACGCGUGGGAACAUACCCUCCGGUUCGGAAUAGCUCAGGGAAACUUGGAUUAAUACCGGAUACGGCCGAGAGGCGAAAGAUUUAUCGCCGGAGGAUUGGCCCGCGUUCGAUUAGCUAGUUGGUGAGGUAAUGGCUCACCAAGGCGAUGAUCGAUAGCUGGUCUGAGAGGAUGAUCAGCCACAUUGGGACUGAGACACGGCCCAAACUCCUACGGGAGGCAGCAGUGGGAUAUUGGACAAUGGGCGCAAGCCUGAUCCAGCCAUGCCGCGUGAGUGAUGAAGGCCUUAGGGUUGUAAAGCUCUUUCGCUCGGGACGAUAAUGACGGUACCGAGAUAAGAAGCCCCGGCUAACUUCGUGCCAGCAGCCGC
RNAcentral lists this ribosomal RNA (446 nucleotides) under uncultured bacterium. RNAcentral describes it as "SSU rRNA". It matches the Rfam family "Bacterial small subunit ribosomal RNA", at positions 26 to 518 of the family's 1533-position model. The record is from RNAcentral.